RNAcentral lists this ribosomal RNA (465 nucleotides) under Vreelandella stevensii. RNAcentral describes it as "partial 16S ribosomal RNA". It matches the Rfam family "Bacterial small subunit ribosomal RNA", at positions 338 to 795 of the family's 1533-position model. Lineage: Bacteria; Pseudomonadati; Pseudomonadota; Gammaproteobacteria; Oceanospirillales; Halomonadaceae. The record is from RNAcentral.
CCUACGGGAGGCUGCAGUGGGGAAUAUUGGACAAUGGGGAGAACCCUGAUCCAGCCAUGCCGCGUGUGUGAAGAAGGCCCUCGGGUUGUAAAGCACUUUCAGUGAGGAAGAACGCCUGGUGGUUAAUACCCAUCAGGAAAGACAUCACUCACAGAAGAAGCACCGGCUAACUCCGUGCCAGCAGCCGCGGUAAUACGGAGGGUGCGAGCGUUAAUCGGAAUUACUGGGCGUAAAGCGCGCGUAGGUGGCUUGAUAAGCCGGUUGUGAAAGCCCCGGGCUCAACCUGGGAACGGCAUCCGGAACUGUCAAGCUAGAGUGCAGGAGAGGAAGGUAGAAUUCCCGGUGUAGCGGUGAAAUGCGUAGAGAUCGGGAGGAAUACCAGUGGCGAAGGCGGCCUUCUGGACUGACACUGACACUGAGGUGCGAAAGCGUGGGUAGCAAACAGGAUUAGAUACCCGGGUAGUC